RNAcentral lists this ribosomal RNA (253 nucleotides) under uncultured bacterium. Its description in RNAcentral is "partial 16S ribosomal RNA". It matches the Rfam family "Bacterial small subunit ribosomal RNA", at positions 524 to 776 of the family's 1533-position model. The record is from RNAcentral.
UACGAAGGGGGCUAGCGUUGCUCGGAAUCACUGGGCGUCAAGGGUGCGUAGGCGGGUCUUUACGUCAGGGGUGAAAUCCUGGAGCUCAACUCCAGAACUGCCUUUGAUACUGAAGAUCUUGAGUUCGGGAGAGGUGAGUGGAACUGCGAGUGUAGAGGUGAAAUUCGUAGAUAUUCGCAAGAACACCAGUGGCGAAGGCGGCUCACUGGCCCGAUACUGACGCUGAGGCACGAAAGCGUGGGGAGCAAACAGG